UAACCCCUCAAGCCUAGCUUGGUGUUGGGGCCUGCUGUUACCGGUAGCCCUUAAAAUCAGUGGCGGUGCCAUCUGGCUCUAAGCGUAGUAAUACUUCUCGCUACAGGGUCCUGGUGGAUGCUUGCCAUUAACCCCCAAUUUUCUAU
Molecule: unclassified non-coding RNA, 146 nt
Filed under: uncultured Leohumicola
Lineage: Eukaryota; Fungi; Ascomycota; Leotiomycetes
Description: sequence contains ITS2
Source: RNAcentral